Triticum aestivum (bread wheat) is the source of this 1814-nucleotide long non-coding RNA. RefSeq lists it as uncharacterized. Lineage: Eukaryota; Viridiplantae; Streptophyta; Magnoliopsida; Poales; Poaceae. The record is from RefSeq and is a predicted model, not a curated record. The transcript has 5 exons.
CCGAGACAGGGAUUAACCUAGACGCGAUUCCCCGCUGUGAAAAAUCCACCCAUCUCCUCCCGAUUCCCAGCCGCCGCCGCCACCGCAUCCUCUCUCCUCCCCUGACGUCGCCUUUUCCCCCUCCUCUCCUCGCAACGGCCUCCUCCUUCCUGCAGCGCCUCUUCCUCUCUUCCUUGCUGAUGGCGCCACCCGCCGGUCGAUGCCUCCUGUCUUGCCCUUUCCAUGGGGAGGUGGAGAUGGGAAGAUGGCGUUGGAGGAGGGAGCACGGGUGGGCGCCGCAGCUGAAGCACGGGUGGCCUGGUUGUGGCCUGGUUGUGGUGGAGCAUGGCGGGAGUCCGGGCGGCGUCGUGGUCGUGGUCAAGAGGAGAAGCACGGGUGGCCGCCGUAGCUGAGCUUCUAUGUAAUAUAGUUCCGAUGAAUCCUCUGCCGCAUCUGGCCUCUGCAGGUUGGGCUCUCCUGUUCUUUUUUGUUGGCUUGACGUACGCACUGGCAACCUCUUAUGUGAGGGAUUCAGCAUGCCUCUAUUUGAGAGAAAAGAUAUGGAGAAGCGGAUUUUCAGGUAUGCUCUAUGGUUUGGAGCAAUGCCACUUUGAUUUGGUUCACAUUUUCUUUAUAGGUUGAUGUUGUCUGUUGAGUAUAUGAGGUUGCCGCUGCUCCAUGUUAAGUACCAGCCAGAACUGCCAUUAUAUAUUUAUUAAGCUGAUGAAGACAUAUGUUGCAGCUGAAGUUUCUUAUUUAAUUACAAGUGAUGAAGACAUAUGUUGCAGCUGAAAUGAUUGCCCUUGCAUCGUGCUAAUUAAAUCACAUCUGCAUUCUGAUGAUCCCAGAAUCUGAUUAUUAGGCAUAGAAGUGAGAAAACUUCCACGAUGAAGUGACUGCUUCACAUGCACAUGGCUUGCCUGAUAUAAUCACGACCUUCGCGUGUGAUCUGGAGUGGCCUGAGAUAGUUCAGGGUCUUGAACAUGGGCAAAAAGCAGUCGACAGGACUGAUAUUACCGUACGGGUGCAUCAGAUGAAGCUUCUUGAUUACCUGCAGAAAAUCAGCACCGGGCAGGUGUUCGGGACUGUCGUUGCUGUUGUCCACACUGUGGAGUUCCAAAAGAGGGGUCUGCCCCAUGCACGUAUCCUUGUUUGGCAGUAGAACAGUGCCCAGGGAUCUAAACUGACCUGAUGUUGACGAUGGUACUGCUGCCACUGCACUUGCUAAGACCAUGGAAACUGCACUUGCUCAGCCACCCAGACUUAAAAUGUACGCCCUCUCUCUGCAAUGAAGCAAAAGAUGCUUUUACCUGCCUAUCCAAACUGGAAAUGCACGCAUGGAUCAUUAAAAAAUUAGCUAGGAAACGCCGUGCAGUGGAUCUUCUGAUGCUAUAGCAAUUAUAGUUUUGAUUCCUCUGUUUCCUUAGUUUGCCUUGUUAGGUUUUUUCCCUAUUCAUAUACAAUAUGAAUAUAUAUCUCUCAUAUACUCCUUUUGCUGAAAACAUUCUGAUGCUGCUGCUACUACAAAGACCGGUUCAUCAAAAAAAAAGUAGUUGAUCCAUGCUUGGGGAUAAGCAUGCGUGUGUGGUUGAUUUGUAUAUAGAAGCUUGAUGCCUUGACCCUCGCUACUUCCACCCUCACUGCUAAGGGCGCCGUCCACAAGAACAAGUGAAGACUGCUGUGUUGCUGCCGUGUUUACAAAUGAGGUCUUUGGCGCUCAUAGAGUCAUGCCAAACCUUUGUUGAUGCAUUUCCCUGUUUAAGAUCCGAACUAAGCUACUUUCAUGUCUUAUAAAUGCCAUCGUUUGCCUUUUGAACGAUGCUAUGUUGCUUUUC